This 492-nucleotide ribosomal RNA is filed under the name uncultured bacterium. RNAcentral's name for it is "partial 16S ribosomal RNA". It matches the Rfam family "Bacterial small subunit ribosomal RNA", at positions 29 to 507 of the family's 1533-position model. The record is from RNAcentral.
AGUGAACGCUGGCGGUAGGCCUAACACAUGCAAGUCGAACGACAGCACAGUAAGAGCUUGCUCUUACGGGUGGCGAGUGGCGGACGGGUGAGGAAUACAUCGGAAUCUACUUUUUCGUGGGGGAUAACGUAGGGAAACUUACGCUAAUACCGCAUACGACCUACGGGUGAAAGCAGGGGAUCUUCGGACCUUGUGCGAUUGAAUGAGCCGAUGUCGGAUUAGCUAGUUGGCGGGGUAAAGGCCCACCAAGGCGACGAUCCGUAGCUGGUCUGAGAGGAUGAUCAGCCACACUGGAACUGAGACACGGUCCAGACUCCUACGGGAGGCAGCAGUGGGGAAUAUUGGACAAUGGGCGCAAGCCUGAUCCAGCCAUACCGCGUGGGUGAAGAAGGCCUUCGGGUUGUAAAGCCCUUUUGUUGGGAAAGAAAAGCAGCAGGUUAAUACCCCGCUGUUCUGACGGUACCCAAAGAAUAAGCACCGGCUAACUUCGUG